RNAcentral lists this ribosomal RNA (796 nucleotides) under Bacillus pumilus. Its description in RNAcentral is "bacterial SSU rRNA". It matches the Rfam family "Bacterial small subunit ribosomal RNA", at positions 1 to 783 of the family's 1533-position model. The record is from RNAcentral. Lineage: Bacteria; Bacillati; Bacillota; Bacilli; Caryophanales; Bacillaceae.
UCGGAGAGUUUGAUCCUGGCUCAGGACGAACGCUGGCGGCGUGCCUAAUACAUGCAAGUCGAGCGAACAGAAGGGAGCUUGCUCCCGGAUGUUAGCGGCGGACGGGUGAGUAACACGUGGGUAACCUGCCUGUAAGACUGGGAUAACUCCGGGAAACCGGAGCUAAUACCGGAUAGUUCCUUGAACCGCAUGGUUCAAGGAUGAAAGACGGUUUCGGCUGUCACUUACAGAUGGACCCGCGGCGCAUUAGCUAGUUGGUGGGGUAAUGGCUCACCAAGGCGACGAUGCGUAGCCGACCUGAGAGGGUGAUCGGCCACACUGGGACUGAGACACGGCCCAGACUCCUACGGGAGGCAGCAGUAGGGAAUCUUCCGCAAUGGACGAAAGUCUGACGGAGCAACGCCGCGUGAGUGAUGAAGGUUUUCGGAUCGUAAAGCUCUGUUGUUAGGGAAGAACAAGUGCGAGAGUAACUGCUCGCACCUUGACGGUACCUAACCAGAAAGCCACGGCUAACUACGUGCCAGCAGCCGCGGUAAUACGUAGGUGGCAAGCGUUGUCCGGAAUUAUUGGGCGUAAAGGGCUCGCAGGCGGUUUCUUAAGUCUGAUGUGAAAGCCCCCGGCUCAACCGGGGAGGGUCAUUGGAAACUGGGAAACUUGAGUGCAGAAGAGGAGAGUGGAAUUCCACGUGUAGCGGUGAAAUGCGUAGAGAUGUGGAGGAACACCAGUGGCGAAGGCGACUCUCUGGUCUGUAACUGACGCUGAGGAGCGAAAGCGUGGGGAGCGAACAGGAUUAGAU